AUCUCUUUGCCUUUUGGCUUAGAUCAUGUGUAGUAUCUGUUCUUUUCAGUGUAACAACUGAAACUACAUCUUAUAAGAUGUAAUCAUUUUUGUUACUUUACCCUAUUUUUGGAUCUAACGUAUGCUUGGACCAGAGACUGAUGGGCUUGCUCACAUCUUGGUUCUUGUCUUGUGUCGUUGCCAUUGCACAUUUCCCGGCUUCUGACGCUUUUCAACA
RNAcentral lists this small nuclear RNA (217 nucleotides) under Hyphopichia burtonii NRRL Y-1933. Its description in RNAcentral is "U2 spliceosomal RNA". It matches the Rfam family "U2 spliceosomal RNA". Rfam says of the family: U2 is a small nuclear RNA (snRNA) component of the spliceosome (involved in pre-mRNA splicing). Complementary binding between U2 snRNA (in an area lying towards the 5' end but 3' to hairpin I) and the branchpoint sequence (BPS) of the intron results the bulging out of an unpaired adenosine, on the BPS, which initiates a nucleophilic attack at the intronic 5' splice site, thus starting the first of two transesterification reactions that mediate splicing. Lineage: Eukaryota; Fungi; Ascomycota; Pichiomycetes; Serinales; Debaryomycetaceae. The record is from Rfam by way of RNAcentral.